AGUGAACGCUGGCGGUAGGCCUAACACAUGCAAGUCGAACGGCAGCACAGUAAGAGCUUGCUCUUACGGGUGGCGAGUGGCGGACGGGUGAGGAAUACAUCGGUAUCUACUUUUUCGUGGGGGAUAACGUAGGGAAACUCACGCUAAUACCGCAUACGACCUACGGGUGAAAGCAGGGGAUCUUCGGACCUUGCGCGAUUGAAUGAGCCGAUGUCGGAUUAGCUAGUUGGCGGGGUAAAGGCCCACCAAGGCGACGAUCCGUAGCUGGUCUGAGAGGAUGAUCAGCCACACUGGAACUGAGACACGGUCCAGACUCCUACGGGAGGCAGCAGUGGGGAAUAUUGGACAAUGGGCGCAAGCCUGAUCCAGCCAUACCGCGUGGGUGAAGAAGGCCUUCGGGUUGUAAAGCCCUUUUGUUGGGAAAGAAAAGCAGCAGGUUAAUACCCCGCUGUUCUGACGGUACCCAAAGAAUAAGCACCGGCUAACUUCGUG
RNAcentral lists this ribosomal RNA (492 nucleotides) under uncultured bacterium. Its description in RNAcentral is "partial 16S ribosomal RNA". It matches the Rfam family "Bacterial small subunit ribosomal RNA", at positions 29 to 507 of the family's 1533-position model. The record is from RNAcentral.